RNAcentral lists this ribosomal RNA (253 nucleotides) under uncultured bacterium. RNAcentral describes it as "partial 16S ribosomal RNA". It matches the Rfam family "Bacterial small subunit ribosomal RNA", at positions 524 to 776 of the family's 1533-position model. The record is from RNAcentral.
UACGUAGGGUGCAGGCGUUAAUCGGAAUUACUGGGCGUAAAGCGUGCGCAGGCGGUUUGCUAAGACAGGUGUGAAAUCCCCGGGCUUAACCUGGGAACUGCGCUUGUUACUGGCAAGCUAGAGUGUGGCAGAGGGGGGUGGAAUUCCAGGUGUAGCAGUGAAAUGCGUAGAGAUGUGGAGGAACACCAAUGGCGAAGGCAGCCUCCUGGGCCAAUACUGACACUCAUGCACGAAAGCGUGGGGAGCAAACAGG